ACGUGUGUGGGCUGAAAAUUUUGACUCUGUAUCCGGCCCGAUUGAACGGCAUAAUCGAAGAAGCGAAGUUCUUCUCUCCUCUGCGUGCGACGGCGACUUCCUAACCUUUGCGCUUCAUCUCGCUAGCUGAAACUGUCCGAGUGAUGGUAUGCAAUCAAUUCAUUCACUUUCUCCUCAUCAUUGAAGAUUUCUCGCCUCCCCCAUUAACCGAAGCUACUGUAUAUAGAUCUUUGAUUGCCUAAACUCCCAGGGUGAACCAAGUUUCUACCUGUUUGGAUUCAUUAUGUAUUGCAACCACAGCUUGCGAGAGUGCUAAAGUAAGUUCUUCAAGGAAUUUUUCUAAUUUUUACAGUCCACCUUGGUCCAAGAUUCUACUUGGGCUCAUUUGGCUCAAAACUUUGAAGCACCUGCUGAAGGAAGAUGCCAUCUGUAACUAAACGUAUUCAACUUCACACGAAGUAACGACCACUUCAGUUCAUUGACUCACCAGUUUCCCUUCGCUUCAACAACCAGACUAAAUUUGUCAGUCCCAUGGCGGUGGUGUUAAGAACACCGUGGAAAUUUCCAGAAGGACAACGGAUCUGAAGGGCGACAGAACUUUAACAGUGGCGUUUGGGAGAAGGCUACUCACAAGGAGGUGUACGGUUCCGACAUAUGCCUUGAGGCUGAAGGUCGUUUGAAGACAGAAGUGAGACGCCUCACCAACAUUAUUCUCAGGCGGAUGUUUUGUCAACGACUUGGAUAUGGAUGUUUUGGCUAAGGAGGUGUACGGUUCCGACAAAUGCUUAGGUUUCUCUCUACUGAUGGACUUUCAGCAUCGUUUAAACAUUGCAGUUCUACUUGCCUACUCUGACUAGCACAAGAUUGCUGCAUAAAAAGAACCAUAUCUUAAAAACUGUUUCUUUGAAGAUCACAUGUGUCUUUAGCUCAAUUGGGUAUGUAGAAACUUUGGUGGUUUAUUUGUUGAACCUUAAUGGCUUUGUCGUUGUUAUGCCUUCAACCUAAGCAAAUUAUCAAUUGGAAAAUUAGAAACCUUGGUGCGGACUUUAUUUGGUUAAUUAGGAAACGUUGAUAUAUGCCAUCUGUAAAAGAAUAUCUUUGGUAAUACAUUUGUCACGCCUGCAAUUCUGAUUUGUGUUCAGCUCAAAUGGUAAAGAGUAGCUUUGGUGAUAUAUUAUUUGAACUUUAUUUUAUUCAAAAUAUGUGCAGUUGAAGACCAUACAGAAAGGAAGAAGACUUUGUUGAGUAAGGAUCUCGGAAAAGUUGGGUUAAAUCAAUUUUUUCUAAGGAACUUGAACCCUUUAUUUUUGAAGUGUUUGAUAUUAUAGAUGAGCAAUAUUUUUGAUUUUGCGGACAUGAGUUAGAUGGAAUAUGGUAACAUUUUUUCUGACAUGGAUGAGACCAACAAUUAGUUAUUCAACUCACUAGCA
This is a long non-coding RNA of Brassica napus (rape), 1430 nucleotides long. RefSeq lists it as uncharacterized. The transcript is spliced from 3 exons. Lineage: Eukaryota; Viridiplantae; Streptophyta; Magnoliopsida; Brassicales; Brassicaceae. The record is from RefSeq and is a predicted model, not a curated record.